UGGGGAAUAUUGGACAAUGGGCGCAAGCCUGAUCCAGCCAUGCCGCGUGAGUGAUGAAGGCCCUAGGGUUGUUAAGCUCUUUCACCGGUGAAGAUAAUGACGGUAACUGGCGAAGAAGUACCGGCUAACUUCGUGCCAGCAGCCGCGGUAAUACGAAGGGGGCUAGCGUUGUUCGGAUUUACUGGGCGUAAAGCGCACGUAGGCGGACUUUUAAGUCAGGGGUGAAAUCCCGGGGCUCAACCCCGGAACUGCCUUUGAUAAUGGAUGUCUUGAGUAUGGUGGAGAUGAGUGGAAUUCCGGGUGUGGAGGUGAAAUACGAGGAUAAUCGGAGGAAUACCAGUGGCGAAGGCGGCUCACUGGACCAUUACUGACGCUGAGGUGCGAAAGCGUGGGGAGCAAACAGG
RNAcentral lists this ribosomal RNA (404 nucleotides) under Actinomycetes bacterium. Its description in RNAcentral is "Actinobacteria bacterium partial 16S ribosomal RNA". It matches the Rfam family "Bacterial small subunit ribosomal RNA", at positions 355 to 776 of the family's 1533-position model. The record is from RNAcentral. Lineage: Bacteria; Bacillati; Actinomycetota; Actinomycetes.